This 214-nucleotide long non-coding RNA is filed under the name Vigna radiata. RNAcentral describes it as "long non-coding RNA (VRAD_LNC011284)". Lineage: Eukaryota; Viridiplantae; Streptophyta; Magnoliopsida; Fabales; Fabaceae. The record is from RNAcentral.
UUAAUAUCUUAUUGGACUUAUGUCAAUUUAAGAUUCAUAAGACAAAUUAUAAAUAGAGAGUCGGGGUCAUAAGCCAAGUAUGUUCCACUGACACCCUAUUCACACCUUAUUUACUCCUCAUUGAUAGUCAUAAACAUUCAAUUAAAAACCAAGGUUCUUCCAUCACACGCCUAACUUGAGCGUUGGAGUGUCAUUGCAGGUAUCUCCCCCUCGG